This 1655-nucleotide long non-coding RNA is filed under the name Gigantopelta aegis. Its description in RNAcentral is "uncharacterized LOC121384711". The record is from RNAcentral. Lineage: Eukaryota; Metazoa; Mollusca; Gastropoda; Neomphalida; Peltospiridae.
GUCACGAAAAAUCACGUGACUGGACUGGUUGGCAAGACGGUACUUCCGCAUGGCCGACUGAUUCCUUUGUUAUUAUUUUAUCUGGUAAUCUCGUUGAAAGCAAAAUGGUUGUAUCUUGUUGUGUGAUCGAUUGCACAAGCAGAUUCGACAAGGACAACCCAAGGAGCUUUUUUCGCAUCCCAAAGAAACCAGAACCCCGAAGAAAGCUUUGGAUUACAGCCAUAAAGCGCGUGUCUAUCGUCGGACGUCAACAAUGGGAACCUACAGAUUACGAUCGCGUUUGUUAUCGUCACUUCAUAACAGGAGAGAAGAGCAAUGACAAGAAUAACCCUGACUACAUUCCCUCUGUGAACAUGGGCUAAAAGGACACUAAACCAAGUGGGGAUCUGCGCCAUGCUAGACACUGUCGAUUGGAGGGCAGAGAAUCCGAGAAAGGCAAGAAACAAGCAGCUUCUGCACUACUGGAUUUGUCAAACACAGAAAAUAUAUUUGAGACACAAGCUGAAGAAUUGCAGCCACAUGUCGACAUACACAGUGGCUGUAUUAAAAAAAAUUGCUGCCCUGCGAAUAGAAAACCAGCAGCUAUAUGAAGAGUUAGGGAGACUUCAAAACAGAGAAUGCGAUUUUAAAACAUAAUGAAAGUCGACUGAGUUUUGAGGAGCAGAUGACAUCCAGUGAUCAAAGAAUUCAGUUUUAUACAGGUCUACAUACAAAAGCUCUAUUUGUAUGGCUGCUGUCAUUUUGCUCCCCGGCACUUCCAGCGUGCAAAGUUCUAAGCCCAACAUGUGUAAUGAUGUGUAUAAUAAUGAAACUUAGGUUGAAUCUCCAGCACCAGGACUUGGCGUAUAGGUUCAGUGUGUCUGUGACCACAAUAUCCGACAUUCUUAACCAGGGACUGCCAAAAUUAGCAGAAAAACUUUCAUUUCUGAUUCAGUGGCCUGAUAAAGACAGUCUGUUAAGAAACAUGCCUAAUGUUAUUAAAAUAACCUACCCAAAAUGUGUGAGCAUCAUUGAUUGUUUUGAAGUUUUUAUUCAGAGACCCGGUCAACUUACAGCUAGGGCUCAAACAUGGUCAAAUUAUAAACAGAACACCAUUAAAUUUCUUGUGUCUAUAACACCAACGGGGGCAAUUUCUUAUGUAUCACAGGCUUUUGGGGGUAGGACAUCGGAUAAAGUUAUUACUCAGAGAAGUGGUUAUUUGGAUAAAUUGGAAUAUGGGGAUCAAGUUUUAGCAGACAGAGGAUUUCUGAUAGCAGAAGAUUUAGCAAACCCGUAAUGCAACACUAGUAAUACCAGCCUUCACUAGGGGAAAGUCACAACUUAGUGCCAGAGAGGUUGAGCAGACCAGAACAUUAGCAAAUGUGCGGAUACAUGUGGAACGAGCCAUUGAAAGACUGAAAAACUAAUAUUUUGAGUAGCAGCACGAGUUUAUACAUGGUUCCACAUGCAGACAGCAUAGUCACAAUCUGUUCAGCAUUAUCUAAUUUACAACCAAAACUUCUUUCUUAGGUUUUUACCUGUAUUAUGCUUUCAAAUGGUACAUAUUGUAAUUCUCCUUUUUAGUUGCAUGAAAUGAGACUAAAUAAAUAUAACUUAAACAGAAAAAGAAUAUAUUGCAUUUUUUAAAAUAUAAAUUAAAUAAAUAGUUUGGCAUA